This 464-nucleotide ribosomal RNA is filed under the name Serratia marcescens. RNAcentral describes it as "bacterial SSU rRNA". It matches the Rfam family "Bacterial small subunit ribosomal RNA", at positions 330 to 787 of the family's 1533-position model. The record is from RNAcentral. Lineage: Bacteria; Pseudomonadati; Pseudomonadota; Gammaproteobacteria; Enterobacterales; Yersiniaceae.
ACCAGACUCCUUCGGAGGCAGCAGUGGGGAAUAUUGCACAAUGGGCGCAAGCCUGAUGCAGCCAUGCCGCGUGUGUGAAGAAGGCCUUCGGGUUGUAAAGCACUUUCAGCGAGGAGGAAGGUGGUGAACUUAAUACGUUCAUCAAUUGACGUUACUCGCAGAAGAAGCACCGGCUAACUCCGUGCCAGCAGCCGCGGUAAUACGGAGGGUGCAAGCGUUAAUCGGAAUUACUGGGCGUAAAGCGCACGCAGGCGGUUUGUUAAGUCAGAUGUGAAAUCCCCGGGCUCAACCUGGGAACUGCAUUUGAAACUGGCAAGCUAGAGUCUCGUAGAGGGGGGUAGAAUUCCAGGUGUAGCGGUGAAAUGCGUAGAGAUCUGGAGGAAUACCGGUGGCGAAGGCGGCCCCCUGGACGAAGACUGACGCUCAGGUGCGAAAGCGUGGGGAGCAAACAGGAUUAGAUACUC